RNAcentral lists this small nuclear RNA (168 nucleotides) under Ailuropoda melanoleuca (giant panda). RNAcentral describes it as "U4 spliceosomal RNA (ENSAMEG00000030251.1)". The stretch from base 1 to 74 matches the Rfam family "U4 spliceosomal RNA". Lineage: Eukaryota; Metazoa; Chordata; Mammalia; Carnivora; Ursidae. The record is from RNAcentral.
AGCUUUGCGCAGUGGCAGUAUCGUAGCCAAUGAGGUUUAUCUGAGGCGCGAUUAUUGCUAAUUGAAAAAGAAAUGUGUUAAAGAUUUUAAAUUACAUAGAAAUGGACAGAAAAGUAAAAGGCUUUUCUGGCAUUUUAUUUUUCCUUUAUUUCAACCUUUUCCUCAAAU